Long non-coding RNA from Teleopsis dalmanni, 1639 nucleotides. RefSeq lists it as uncharacterized. NCBI's taxonomy places the organism in Eukaryota, Metazoa, Arthropoda, Insecta, Diptera, Diopsidae. The record is from RefSeq and is a predicted model, not a curated record. The transcript is spliced from 10 exons.
GAAAUACUUAAACAUAUAUAUUUAAAAAAAAUGUUGCUUAAUUAAAGAGUUGAUCAAUCUUAAUCACAUGGAUGACUUGAUUUUUGAAAUUGAUUACAAUUGGACCGAUCUUUUUUAGUUGAUCAAUCUUAAUCACAUGGAUGACUUGAUUUCUGAAAUUGAUUACAAUUGGACCGAUCUUUUUCAGUUGAUCAAUCUUAAUCAAAUGAAUGACUUGAUUUCUGGAAUUGAUUACAAUUGGACCGAUCCUUUUUAGUUGAUCAAUCUUAAUCACAUGGAUGACUUAAAUACUAUAAGUAAUAAGUAUUGCCUUGUAUCUAUAGCAAGAAAAUGGUAAAGUAGAGGCACUACUUAACAAAAAAGUUGAUCAACCAAAAACUGGUGCUCUUAUAAGCUCGCACAAACAACUAGCUUACUAUGAGUGGUAAACUAGAGGGAACUACUCUAUAAACUGGAAAUUAAAAUUUACAGUUCUAAAACGUUUUCUACAGAGAGUUUGCGAAUGCUAAAGAGUGACUCAAACGUUCUUUAUUAUUAAAAAGUUUUUAUAAGAAAAAUUAUGAGUACGAAUUAACAAAACUAAUUCCACUAAUCGGAUAAUAUAAAGACCGCUACUUAUAUGAGGUCAUAUACUAUUAUAUUAAAUGUAAAUAGUAAUGAGUAUAAUUUAUAAGACCACUGCUUGCGAUAAAUUCAUCAAUGGACUUUUUGAUUGUUGAAAAUCUAUUCCACUAAUUGAAUAAUUUAUAAGACCACUGCUUAUAUAUAUAAGAUCACUAUAUGAGUGCAUAUAAUUGAAAAAAUUUUUUUACGUUUUAUAAUAAACGUCAAAUUUUAAAAUGGAUUUUUUUAUUGUUGAAAACCUAUCCAAUACUUAAAUGGGACCAAAAAUAAUUAAAAUGUAUAUAAUGAAAAAAUAUGCGAGUACAAUAUAAUAUUUAAUGAAUCUUUCAUCUAUGAUUUAAUUAAUAAUAGUUCAUUCCACGAGUUAGAUCACUGCUUUCUAUACUUAUAAAAAUAUAUAAAAAUCCCGGACGUGUCUUUUUAUUGUUUGAAGUCCUAUGCUAACUAAUAGGCUUCAAAGGUGAUAACUUUUUAUUUUCUCUUACCAGCGAUGUCUUACCGGAUGUGUUUAAUAAAUGAUUGCGGAGACUAUGCUAAUUAGGUCCCGAUGAUGAUUAAAAAUUCUCUUUAGGAAUUGUCAUUACCCCAAUAUUUUUUUUUAUGAAUCUACCGAGAUAUUGUGCAUGAUUAACUGGAUUAAUUGUUAACUGGGCUCGAAGAAGAACCAUUUCCUACCAGUGCAACUAAACUGGUAUGAGUACUAUAAUUUUGGAAUCGGAAUCGACAAUAAAGGUGGUAGGUGCGUUAAUGUCAAAUACUGUCAAAAUGUGCUAAAGGAAUUCUCGUGAAGCAAUCAAACUGGUAUUAGUACUAGAAAUUUAGAAUUGGAAUCGACAAUGAAAUGUGCUAAAGCAAGUCCUAUAGAAAUGUGUGGAUGUAUUUACUAAAAUAAAUACCCAAAACUCGAAGAACAACAAAUUAAAUAUUUGUUAAAAUAAUGUACCAGUUCAAAUGAAAUAACUAUUUGGGUUGUGCAAAAUUAAUAGUAAACAAUAAAUUUUUCAAGCAAUAUAUA